This 396-nucleotide transfer-messenger RNA is filed under the name Patescibacteria group. Its description in RNAcentral is "2-01-FULL-50-28 sp001816585 Standard tmRNA". It matches the Rfam family "transfer-messenger RNA". Rfam says of the family: Bacterial tmRNA, also known as 10Sa RNA or SsrA, is named for its dual tRNA and mRNA-like properties. The record is from RNAcentral. RNAcentral also lists the same sequence under 2 other names.
GGGGAUGUAUUGAUUCGACGUGACGAGCUCUUUGACAUCUGCAAGCUCCCGUUGAUUCAUCGGGGCUAAACAGAAUCAAAACAAUAACUGUCAACAACCUUGUUGCCAGAGCAAAUGCCUUCCUUCGGGGAGCGUUUGCCCCAGCAGCGGCCCCUGCAUACGCAGUAGCCUAAGCCGGCAUCCAUCUUUGUGUUUCUCUCGGUGGACCAGGGUGGGUGUAAACAAAGCCGAGAUGCAGCAGUAACUUUCUAAGACGGGUUACUGCGAAGCUUUUGUCUUAACCCUUGCUCUUUUUGGUUGGUGGUUGACUUGAGUGAGGUUUUUCAAUCACCUACGCUUGUAGAUGAUGUUAAAUUGCCGUUGCGGACGCCGAGUCAUUCUCGGCCAUCUCCACCU